Molecule: transfer-messenger RNA, 363 nt
Filed under: Escherichia coli
Lineage: Bacteria; Pseudomonadati; Pseudomonadota; Gammaproteobacteria; Enterobacterales; Enterobacteriaceae
Rfam family: transfer-messenger RNA
About the family: Bacterial tmRNA, also known as 10Sa RNA or SsrA, is named for its dual tRNA and mRNA-like properties. Its role is to liberate the mRNA from a stalled ribosome. To accomplish this part of the tmRNA is used as a reading frame that ends in a translation stop signal.
Source: RNAcentral
GGGGCUGAUUCUGGAUUCGACGGGAUUUGCGAAACCCAAGGUGCAUGCCGAGGGGCGGUUGGCCUCGUAAAAAGCCGCAAAAAAUAGUCGCAAACGACGAAAACUACGCUUUAGCAGCUUAAUAACCUGCUUAGAGCCCUCUCUCCCUAGCCUCCGCUCUUAGGACGGGGAUCAAGAGAGGUCAAACCCAAAAGAGAUCGCGUGGAAGCCCUGCCUGGGGUUGAAGCGUUAAAACUUAAUCAGGCUAGUUUGUUAGUGGCGUGUCCGUCCGCAGCUGGCAAGUGAAUGUAAAGACUGACUAAGCAUGUAGUACCGAGGACGUAGGAAUUUCGGACGCGGGUUCAACUCCCGCCAGCUCCACCA